AUGGCGGCAGCGCUUCGUUCUGCGGCGAGGAAGAUCUGCGGUCACGCCUUUGAGCGACCGCAUGCGCUUCUCAGGACGGCCGCUUCAGCUGCCAUCAAGGAGGAACAGUGGCGGCUGCUGGCAAGGAUUGGCCAUGGCCGAAGCUCACUUCGCCGGUUCACCUCCUCCGAGUCACCAAGUUUUCUUAAUAAUAAGAACAAGAUAUUUUUCUCAAAAAGGAAUGAAUGGUCUUAUGAAACACAAUGCUUCUUCAAAUCUUCUGGUUAUGAGAUGGUUAUCAAGCGAGCGGUCAUUGAAGUCGCGCUCGUGUAG
RNAcentral lists this ribosomal RNA (312 nucleotides) under Triticum aestivum (bread wheat). RNAcentral's name for it is "partial small subunit ribosomal RNA". Lineage: Eukaryota; Viridiplantae; Streptophyta; Magnoliopsida; Poales; Poaceae. The record is from RNAcentral.